CCCCUUCAAGCUGGCUGGAGUGGAGGGUAACACUGUGGUGAGAGAUGCUCCCCAUCCCUGAGGUGUCUUUCUAAUGACCCUCAACCUAUCCCGCUGGCCCUGGGAGAAACAGAGGUGAACAUGAUCCCUGAUGCUUAGAUCUCAUUCUCAACUCAGAAAUUUUUCAACCCCUCUCACUCUUGUUACCUGUUCCCUUUCUUGCCCACUCCUUUUUCCCUGAGGCAUUGGGGGUUACAGAGUCUAGAUCCCAUGCUGGGAUUGUCUGUAAUGCCCCAGCCCACCUUCCCUUUCAGCCCCCAGAGCAGGACCCUCCAGCCUCUCGUCUCCCCUUUCCAAGCUCUGGAGGGAGUCAUAGGAGAUGACGAGGAACCUAUGAAUGUCACUGUGAAUGUGGGUUAUUCUGCCCUCUAAAGGCUGUCAUCAAAAUGAAAGGGCAGCCACCUUCUCCAGGGGUGCUGUCCUCCUGCACAUGCAUCCUAUCCACACUCUGUGACCAUCCCCUUUGCUUACUGCUCCUGAGUCAUCUUCACUUUCCCUUAGAUGUUUCAGCACCUGAUGCAGAAGCGGAAGCACACCCAGUGGACAUAUGGACCACUGACCUCGACUCUCUAUGACCUCACGGAGAUCGACUCCUCGGGGGAUGAGCAGUCCCUGCUGGAACUUAUCAUCACCACCAAGAAGCGGGAGGUAUGGCUCAUGACAGCAGGCUGUGGCUGGGGAGGGGUGUCAGGGUCUCUGAGCCGCCUGUUCUCUUUCUGUUGCAGGCUCGCCAGAUCCUGGACCAGACGCCGGUGAAGGAGCUGGUGAGCCUCAAGUGGAAGCGGUACGGGCGGCCGUACUUCUGCAUGCUGGGUGCCAUAUAUCUGCUGUACAUCAUCUGCUUCACCAUGUGCUGCAUCUACCGCCCCCUCAAGCCCAGGACCAAUAACCGCACGAGCCCCCGGGACAACACCCUCUUACAGCAGAAGCUACUUCAGGAAGCCUACGUGACCCCUAAGGACGAUAUCCGGCUGGUGGGGGAGCUGGUGACUGUCAUUGGGGCUAUCAUCAUCCUGCUGGUAGAGAUUCCAGACAUCUUCAGAAUGGGGAUCACUCGCUUCUUUGGACAGACCAUCCUUGGGGGCCCAUUCCAUGUCCUCAUGUGAGUUUCCUUCCUCUCACUCCCAUCCCUUCCCUCAACAGGGCUCCAGUUCCACUCCCUGGAUUCCUGACCUCUCAAGAACCUUAGCUCCAGAGCCCCCUCUCUAGUGCUGUGUGUAUGACCCUGUGCAUUGAGUGUGGGGAGGCUGAAUCUGCAUGAGUGGGUACUUUCCCAGCUACAUUCCUGCUGUCAGGUCCCCAGGCUCAUCCCAGCCCUCCCCUCAUCACCCUCCUCCCUGCUCCCCCAGCAUCACCUAUGCCUUCAUGGUGCUGGUGACCAUGGUGAUGCGGCUCAUCAGUGCCAGCGGGGAGGUGGUACCCAUGUCCUUUGCACUCGUGCUGGGCUGGUGCAACGUCAUGUACUUCGCCCGAGGAUUCCAGAUGCUAGGUCCCUUCACCAUCAUGAUUCAGAAGAUGAUUUUUGGCGACCUGAUGCGAUUCUGCUGGCUGAUGGCUGUGGUCAUCCUGGGCUUUGCUUCAGGUAAUCAUCUGUCCAGGACCAGGGGCCAUGGCAGGGAGGAGAUGAGAAAAUCUAGGGGGCACUGGCUCUGGCUAAACUUGGGGAGGAGGAGUAAUGCAGAGAUCAGAGGAGACCUAUGGUAUCAGAGGAUGGGACGUCCUCCAGAGGUGAGAAAAAUCGGGAGUGUUAGGGAGAGGUGGCUCUUAGGAUCAAGAAGAUGAGGCUCAUAGAAAACUAGGGACCGUAAAAACCCAAAGUUUGGAGCAUUGCAGAGCUGGUGAUAUUG
Molecule: small RNA, 1886 nt
Filed under: Pongo abelii (Sumatran orangutan)
Lineage: Eukaryota; Metazoa; Chordata; Mammalia; Primates; Hominidae
Description: retained intron
Source: RNAcentral